GAGGGUAUAGCUCAGUGGUAGAGUGUGUUAGCUUAACAUGUACCAGGUCCUGGGUUCAAUCCCCAGUACCUCCA
Molecule: transfer RNA, 74 nt
Filed under: Camelus bactrianus (Bactrian camel)
Lineage: Eukaryota; Metazoa; Chordata; Mammalia; Artiodactyla; Camelidae
Also listed under: 1 other name
Rfam family: tRNA
About the family: Transfer RNA (tRNA) molecules are approximately 80 nucleotides in length. Their secondary structure includes four short double-helical elements and three loops (D, anti-codon, and T loops). Further hydrogen bonds mediate the characteristic L-shaped molecular structure. tRNAs have two regions of fundamental functional importance: the anti-codon, which is responsible for specific mRNA codon recognition, and the 3' end, to which the tRNAs corresponding amino acid is attached (by aminoacyl-tRNA synthetases). tRNAs cope with the degeneracy of the genetic code in two manners: having more than one tRNA (with a specific anti-codon) for a particular amino acid; and 'wobble' base-pairing, i.e. permitting non-standard base-pairing at the 3rd anti-codon position.
Source: Rfam by way of RNAcentral